UACGUAGGUGGCAAGCGUUAUCCGGAAUUAUUGGGCGUAAAGAGCGCGCAGGUGGUUGAUUAAGUCUGAUGUGAAAGCCCACGGCUUAACCGUGGAGGGUCAUUGGAAACUGGUCGACUUGAGUGCAGAAGAGGGAAGUGGAAUUCCAUGUGUAGCGGUGAAAUGCGUAGAGAUAUGGAGGAACACCAGUGGCGAAGGCGGCUUCCUGGUCUGAUACUGACACUGAGGUGCGAAAGCGUGGGGAGCAAACAGGAUUAGAUA
This 261-nucleotide ribosomal RNA is filed under the name uncultured prokaryote. RNAcentral describes it as "partial 16S ribosomal RNA". It matches the Rfam family "Bacterial small subunit ribosomal RNA", at positions 524 to 784 of the family's 1533-position model. The record is from RNAcentral.